RNAcentral lists this ribosomal RNA (402 nucleotides) under uncultured bacterium. RNAcentral's name for it is "bacterial SSU rRNA". It matches the Rfam family "Bacterial small subunit ribosomal RNA", at positions 357 to 776 of the family's 1533-position model. The record is from RNAcentral.
GGGGAUAUUGCACAAUGGGGGAAACCCUGAUGCAGCAACGCCGCGUGAGUGAAGAAGGUCUUCGGAUUGUAAAGCUCUGUUCUUGGUGAAGAUAAUGACGGUAGCCAAGGAGAAAGCUCCGGCUAACUACGUUCCAGCCGCCGCGGUAAUACGUAGGGAGCGAGCGUUGUCCGGAUUUACUGGGUGUAAAGGGUGCGCAGGCGGCUCUGCAAGUCAGGCGUGAAAGCUAGGGGCUCAACCCCUAAACUGCGCUUGAAACUGUGGAGCUUGAGUGAAGUAGAGGCAGGCGGAAUUCCCGGUGUAGCGGUGAAAUGCGUAGAGAUCGGGAGGAACACCAGUGGCGAAGGCGGCCUGCUGGGCUUUAACUGACGCUCAGGCACGAAAGCAUGGGUAGCAAACAGG